CGAACCGUAGCUAGGGAACCCAGUUGGGCAGCCCGCUUUUGUUCUUCAUUGUUCUUCAUCCUUCGAUUUCCAUUUGAUUGUUGUAACUUGUUGUUUGUGCUUAGAAGCAUGCUAGGAUUGUUGUGCUUUAAAUUCAUAGUCUUCCAAGCAUGAAAAUAGCAUGUUUUUAUGAAGAUCUUGGCUGCCAAAGUUUGAAGUUCAAGACUGCCGAUUUUUUUUUAAUUUUUAUGAAAGUUUGAGGUUGAAGAUGAUGCAUGUUGAGGGUUUUGAUGUGUUUGUGUUCUAGGAUGGUUGAUGAGCAUGAUGAAGUUUUGAAGUGUAAAUGUUAGAGUUUGCAUGAACUUAAGGCUGAUUUUGAAGUGUAAAUGUUAGAGUUUGCAUGAACUUAAGGCUGAUGUUCGUGUUCAGUUUCUGGAGUCAUGCAUUGCAUCAUGUUUUAAUUGGUUUUUAUAAUUUCAAUUACAAGAGAAAAACGAGU
RNAcentral lists this long non-coding RNA (478 nucleotides) under Salvia miltiorrhiza (redroot sage). Its description in RNAcentral is "long non-coding RNA (SMIL_LNC011771)". Lineage: Eukaryota; Viridiplantae; Streptophyta; Magnoliopsida; Lamiales; Lamiaceae. The record is from RNAcentral.